AUUGAACGCUGGCGGCAGGCCUAACACAUGCAAGUCGAGCGAGCGGCGGACGGGUGAGUAAUGUAUGGGGACUGCCCGAUAGAGGGGGCUAAAUACUGGAAACGGUAGCUCAUACCGCAUACUAUCGGAUAACCCAUAUGGGAUUAGCUAGUAGGUGAGGUAAUGGCUCAACUAGGCGACGAUCCCUAGCCGGUCUGAGAGGAUGAUCAGCCACAAUGGGACUGAGCCACGGCCCAGACUCCUACGGAGGCAGCAGUGGGGAAGAUUGCACAAUGGGGGCAAGCCUGAUGCAGCCAUGCCGCGUGUAUGAAGAAGGCCCUAGGGUUGUAAAGUACUUUAAGUCGGGAGGCGUUACCGACAGAAGAAGCACCGGCUAACUCCGUGCCAGCAGCCGCGGUAAUUC
This 403-nucleotide ribosomal RNA is filed under the name uncultured bacterium. RNAcentral's name for it is "partial 16S ribosomal RNA". It matches the Rfam family "Bacterial small subunit ribosomal RNA", at positions 30 to 526 of the family's 1533-position model. The record is from RNAcentral.